This 124-nucleotide ribosomal RNA is filed under the name Providencia rettgeri. RNAcentral describes it as "partial 16S ribosomal RNA". It matches the Rfam family "Bacterial small subunit ribosomal RNA", at positions 1 to 118 of the family's 1533-position model. The record is from RNAcentral. Lineage: Bacteria; Pseudomonadati; Pseudomonadota; Gammaproteobacteria; Enterobacterales; Morganellaceae.
UUAAUUGAAGAGUUUGAUCAUGGCUCAGAUUGAACGCUGGCGGCAGGCCUAACACAUGCAAGUCGAGCGGUAACAGGGGAAGCUUGCUUCUCGCUGACGAGCGGCGGACGGGUGAGUAAUGUAU